GAUUUGCAUAAGGCCCCAGAAGGGUGCCAAAACUCUUCACGCUUUAAACAACAGCCUUUAUUAUUCUGUACAUUUGCCUGAAAUGCUCCCCUGCCACAUCCUUAUCUCUAAUUUGGAGAGAUAUGUAUUUGAAGGGUGGACUGUUUGGUGGAUAAGAAAUUGGUUGGAAGGUUGCAGCCAGAAGAAUGUGGUCGCUGAAUCUAUGUCCAGGUGGAGGCUGCACUCAAAAUUCAGAAUUGGUAUUGUAUUGCAAUUCCUCAUCAAAAACAUGCAGAAUCAUCUUUCUCGUCAAAAACAUUUCAUUGAGAUAGCAGUCUACUGUGCCUCCCAAAAGGAAAGUGCUGAAGAUGUCACUGAAAAUUAUCACCACUUUCUUCUGCAUCAAGAAAAUAUAACUCACAUACAUCUCCUGGGAAUAUGGAAAUUAUGAAUAUUUGAGUCUAUCAUUUUUCCUUGAGGCCUGCCAAUGAGGCACAGGAGGUUGUUGAACUUGGAGUGAUAAUGUUCUUUCAAAGGCAGCAGCAAGUGGAUGUCAGGUCUCAGUCUUUGGAUACUCCAACUAACAAAAGUUUCUGGUUUAUCUUUCCUGGAUUCCCUUUACAGAAAGGGAGCUAGCUAAGGUAUGUUUUUUGUAAAAUGUUUUAUAGUAUGAGAAAAAAUGUUAGGUAUGGAUUGUUGUGUUGUAUUUAUAUAGUGAAUGUUCAUCUCACUGGUAUAGAUGACUGUUAAUAUUUUCUAUUGAUUAAUUGAAUAAUAUAUAUAUAUUGUCUAAAGGAAGCUUGUGAUUCAAAACUCAGAUUAUUUUAGUAUUGCAGAGAAUAUAAGAAGUUCACUUGUAAAUCAAAUAUUUGUUGAGACAUGAUAUGAGACAUAUCAUUACCUGAAUAUAUUAGCAUGCUGAGCUGUGGAUUAAGAACGCUCUUUUGUUGUUGUUGUUGUUGUUGUUUUUUCUCCUGAAAAUACUUUAU
This is a long non-coding RNA of Gallus gallus (chicken), 968 nucleotides long. Lineage: Eukaryota; Metazoa; Chordata; Aves; Galliformes; Phasianidae. The record is from Ensembl.